UGCAGUCGAGCGGUAAGGCCUUUCGGGGUACACGAGCGGCGAACGGGUGAGUAACACGUGGGUGAUCUGCCCUGCACUUCGGGAUAAGCCUGGGAAACUGGGUCUAAUACCGGAUAUGACCUCCUGUUGCAUGACUUGGGGUGGAAAGAUUUAUCGGUGCAGGAUGGGCCCGCGGCCUAUCAGCUUGUUGGUGGGGUAAUGGCCUACCAAGGCGACGACGGGUAGCCGACCUGAGAGGGUGACCGGCCACACUGGGACUGAGACACGGCCCAGACUCCUACGGGAGGCAGCAGUGGGGAAUAUUGCACAAUGGGCGAAAGCCUGAUGCAGCGACGCCGCGUGAGGGAUGACGGCCUUCGGGUUGUAAACCUCUUUCAGCAGGGACGAAGCGCAAGUGACGGUACCUGCAGAAGAAGCACCGGCUAACUACGUGCCAGCAGCCGCGGUAAUACGUAGGGUGCAAGCGUUGUCCGGAAUUACUGGGCGUAAAGAGUUCGUAGGCGGUUUGUCGCGUCGUUUGUGAAAACCAGCAGCUCAACUGCUGGCUUGCAGGCGAUACGGGCAGACUUGAGUACUGCAGGGGAGACUGGAAUUCCUGGUGUAGCGGUGAAAUGCGCAGAUAUCAGGAGGAACACCGGUGGCGAAGGCGGGUCUCU
This 656-nucleotide ribosomal RNA is filed under the name Rhodococcus sp. YIM 65670. RNAcentral describes it as "bacterial SSU rRNA". It matches the Rfam family "Bacterial small subunit ribosomal RNA", at positions 56 to 730 of the family's 1533-position model. The record is from RNAcentral. Lineage: Bacteria; Bacillati; Actinomycetota; Actinomycetes; Mycobacteriales; Nocardiaceae.